RNAcentral lists this ribosomal RNA (465 nucleotides) under Vreelandella stevensii. RNAcentral describes it as "partial 16S ribosomal RNA". It matches the Rfam family "Bacterial small subunit ribosomal RNA", at positions 338 to 795 of the family's 1533-position model. The record is from RNAcentral. Lineage: Bacteria; Pseudomonadati; Pseudomonadota; Gammaproteobacteria; Oceanospirillales; Halomonadaceae.
CCUACGGGAGGCUGCAGUGGGGAAUAUUGGACAAUGGGCGAAAGCCUGAUCCAGCCAUGCCGCGUGUGUGAAGAAGGCCUUCGGGUUGUAAAGCACUUUCAGUGGGGAAGAAAGCCUUGGGGCUAAUACCCUCGAGGAAGGACAUCACCCACAGAAGAAGCACCGGCUAACUCCGUGCCAGCAGCCGCGGUAAUACGGAGGGUGCGAGCGUUAAUCGGAAUUACUGGGCGUAAAGCGCGCGUAGGCGGUCUGAUAAGCCGGUUGUGAAAGCCCCGGGCUCAACCUGGGAACGGCAUCCGGAACUGUCAGGCUAGAGUGCAGGAGAGGAAGGUAGAAUUCCCGGUGUAGCGGUGAAAUGCGUAGAGAUCGGGAGGAAUACCAGUGACGAAGGCGGCCUUCUGGACUGACACUGACGCUGAGGUGCGAAAGCGUGGGUAGCAAACAGGAUUAGAUACCCCUGUAGUC